AAUGAAAGAUGAUUUUGACAGAGAUCAGACCAUUGAGAGGGCUAAGCGCAUUUUGAUUGGUGAACAAAUGGAAGUCUUAUGUGCGAAGCAUAAGGACUAUCUCAGUGCUUUGAGGCGGUAUCAUGAAUUGGAACGAUCCACCAUGGAGCAGGUGGAGAAGGUGAAGAAGGUAGUAAAAGUGGGUGCCGCUGUUGGCCUUGUGGGAGGGCUUCUGCUGAUACUGGCAAAGAUCUAGAUUUGAGCAGUGUGCAGUUUGCUUCUUCUUUUUGUGUAGAACUGAGCUGGCAGAUGACUCGGCCGAGCUGGUAUUUUGGAGUGGCAGAGUAGUAACAUUUGACUGUUUAGUUGACUAUUUUCUCUAUGCCGGUUUAACGGGGCAUUCGUCGGAAGGCUUCUGCUGAUAAAGAUCUCAAUUAGAGCACCUAGGAGUUUGCUGCUACUUAUUUCUGUGUAGAACUGAGUUAACCAGAUGAGCAUGCUGAGCUGGUAUUUAGUGUGGUGGAGUAGAAUUUAACUGUUUUAUUUAUUUGGACCGAUUUGAACCUGCAGUAGUAGCUAAGACAAGGCCAAGUUAUACAAUUGCUAUCAUUGCAGUUAUCUCUAUGUAAUACCAGGAGAUAACUCGAUUUAUGCUA
Molecule: long non-coding RNA, 635 nt
Organism: Lolium rigidum
Lineage: Eukaryota; Viridiplantae; Streptophyta; Magnoliopsida; Poales; Poaceae
Exons: 2
Source: RefSeq, a predicted model, not a curated record